Molecule: ribosomal RNA, 171 nt
Filed under: Triticum aestivum (bread wheat)
Lineage: Eukaryota; Viridiplantae; Streptophyta; Magnoliopsida; Poales; Poaceae
Description: partial small subunit ribosomal RNA
Source: RNAcentral
AUGGUAGGGUCUAGAUCGAGUGUUCAUGGAGAAAACCAUGGGGAAGAAGAUGCCCCGGUCACACGUGCCGAGCUGCAGCGACUCGAGAACAACUUACUCCAAGCCAUGGAAAGGAUGCUUCACGAGCGUCCUGUAGCGGGUGGUGAUAGGGUUCGACACCGACAACACCCU